CACAUAUCAUCCGCCAGGGGACUACGAGCGCUAGCUUAAAACCCAAAGGACUUGACGGUGUCUCAGACCCGCCUAGAGGAGCCUGUUCUAGAACCGAUAAUCCCCGUUGAACCUCCCCAUCCCUUGUUCUCCCCGCCUAUAUACCGCCGUCGCAAGCUUACCCUGUGAAGGGCCUACAGUAAGCAAAAUGGGUAAACCCCAGAACGUCAGGUCGAGGUGUAGCUUACGAGAUGGAAAGAAAUGGGCUACAUUUUCUACAACAGAAUAUCACGAACGGCACCAUGAAAUUUAGUGCCUGAAGGUGGAUUUAGCAGUAAAAAA
This 321-nucleotide ribosomal RNA is filed under the name Ossubtus xinguense. Its description in RNAcentral is "partial 12S small subunit ribosomal RNA". It matches the Rfam family "Bacterial small subunit ribosomal RNA", at positions 859 to 1345 of the family's 1533-position model. Lineage: Eukaryota; Metazoa; Chordata; Actinopteri; Characiformes; Serrasalmidae. The record is from RNAcentral.